AAGUAUAUGCAUAUUUUAUAUGUAGAAACUGCGAACGGCUCAUUAAAACAGUUAUAAUCUACUUGACAUUUUCUAUAUAAGGAUAACUACGGAAAAGCUGUAGCUAAUACUUGCUUUAGCACUCUUGAUUUAUUUCUUGAGUGUGUACUUGUUAAGCCUUAUAAGAAAAGAGUUAUUAACUUAAGGAAUUAUAACAAAGAAGUAACACGUAAUGGAUCAGUCCAUUUUUAGUGUGUAUCAAUCGAGUUUCUGACCUAUCAGCUUUUGAUGUUAGGGUAUUGGCCUAACAUGGCUAUGACGGGUAACGGGGAAUUAGAGUUCGAUUCCGGAGAGGGAGCCUGAGAAAUAGCUACCACAUCUAAGGAAGGCAGCAGGCGCGUAAAUUACCCAAUUCUAAAGAAGAGAGGUAGUGACAAGAAAUAACAAUACAAGGCCAAUCUGGCUUUGUAAUUGGAAUGAUGGGAAUUUAAAACCUUCCCAAAAUUCAAUUGGAGGGCAAGUCUGGUGCCAGCAGCCGCGGUAAUUCCAGCUCCAAUAGCGUAUAUUAAAAUUGUUGCAGUUAAAACGCUCGUAGUUGAAUUUCAAAGAACCUAUAUUUUAAUGAUGCUGUUAGCGAGAGCCACAAAAAAGCGAAUUCCAAUAUAUGUUUUCUGCUUUAUGUGCGCAUCCUCUACCUAUUAAGUGUUAAUUAAAAUUAAAGGGUUUCUUUUUAAAAUCUUCUAUAACUAAUAAAAAAAUAUGGAAGAUUUUGUUACUUUGAGUAAAUUAGAGUGUUCAAAGCAAACAGAUAUAUAGCAUUUGUGCGUUUGAAUACUACAGCAUGGAAUAACAAAAUUGAACAGGUCAAAACUAUGUUUCUUUUUUUUUAUUUUUGGCUUAGUUACGAUUAAUAGGAGUAGUUUGGGGACAUUUGUAUUCAGAUGUCAGAGGUGAAAUUCUAAGAUUUUCUGGAGACAAACAACUGCGAAGGCAUUUGUCUAAAAUACUUCCAUUAAUCAAGAACGAAAGUUAAGGGAGUGAAGACGAUCAGAUACCGUCGUAAUCUUAACCAUAAACUAUACCGACUAGGUUUUGGAUGAAAGUAAAACAAAUAAGGAUAGUCUCUUCGGGGAUAGUUCUUAGAUUUCUUCCUUCAGUACCUUAUGAGAAAUCAAAGUCUUUGGGUUCUGGGGCGAGUAUUCGCGCAAGCGAGAAAGUUAAAAGAAUUGACGGAAGGGCACCACCAGGCGUGGAGCUUGCGGCUUAAUUUGACUCAACACGGGAAAACUCACUAGUUUAAGACAAGAGUAGGAUUGACAGAUUAAUAGCUCUUUCUUGAUUUCUUGGAUGGUGAUGCAUGGCCGUUUUUAGUUCGUGAAUAUGAUUUGUCUGGUUAAUUCCGAUAACGAACGAGAUCUUAACCUGCUAAUUAGCAGUAAGUACAACAUAUUUCUAUGCUGAAUUUGUAUUUGGAUAAUUUAAAAGGUUUUUUUGCCGUGCAUAUAAUGAGUACGGAAAAAAUGCAUACUGCUACCUUGUACCUAAUAAUACUUGGCGCCUAUGCAUAUUUCCAACCCUCUAUUCCCUGUACCGCAUAAAACUGGAUUAUGAUGCCAUUUCACUUUUAUGUAGAAAUGUAUUUGCUUUUACAUAAAGCUUCUUAGAGGAACGAUGUGUGUCUAACACAAG
This 1668-nucleotide ribosomal RNA is filed under the name Plasmodium knowlesi. Its description in RNAcentral is "SSU rRNA". It matches the Rfam family "Eukaryotic small subunit ribosomal RNA", at positions 61 to 1439 of the family's 1831-position model. Lineage: Eukaryota; Apicomplexa; Aconoidasida; Haemosporida; Plasmodiidae. The record is from RNAcentral.